RNAcentral lists this ribosomal RNA (506 nucleotides) under uncultured bacterium. RNAcentral describes it as "partial 16S ribosomal RNA". It matches the Rfam family "Bacterial small subunit ribosomal RNA", at positions 29 to 523 of the family's 1533-position model. The record is from RNAcentral.
AGUGAACGCUGGCGGUAGGCCUAACACAUGCAAGUCGAACGGCAGCACAGGAGAGCUUGCUCUCUGGGUGGCGAGUGGCGGACGGGUGAGGAAUACAUCGGAAUCUACUCUGUCGUGGGGGAUAACGUAGGGAAACUUACGCUAAUACCGCAUACGACCUACGGGUGAAAGCAGGGGACCUUCGGGCCUUGCGCGAUUGAAUGAGCCGAUGUCGGAUUAGCUAGUUGGCGGGGUAAAGGCACACCAAGGCGACGAUCCGUAGCUGGUCUGAGAGGGUGAUCAGCCACACUGGAACUGUGACACGGUCCAGACUCCUACGGGAGGCAGCAGUGGGGAAUAUUGGACAAUGGGCGCAAGCCUGAUCCAGCCAUACCGCGUGGGUGAAGAAGGCCUUCGGGUUGUAAAGCCCUUUUGUUGGGAAAGAAAUCCAGCUGGCUAAUACCCGGUUGGGAUGACGGUACCCAAAGAAUAAGCACUGGCUAACUUCGUGCCAGCCGCCGCGGUAA